GACGAACGCUGGCGGCGUGCUUAACACAUGCAAGUCGAACGGAAAGGCCCUGCUUUUGUGGGGUGCUCGAGUGGCGAACGGGUGAGUAACACGUGAGUAACCUGCCCUUGACUUUGGGAUAACUUCAGGAAACUGGGGCUAAUACCGGAUAGGAGCUCCUGCUGCAUGGUGGGGGUUGGAAAGUUUCGGCGGUUGGGGAUGGACUCGCGGCUUAUCAGCUUGUUGGUGGGGUAGUGGCUUACCAAGGCUUUGACGGGUAGCCGGCCUGAGAGGGUGACCGGCCACGUGGGGGCUGGGAACGGGCCGAGCCCCCGCGGGGGGGGAGAGGGGGAAAAAUUGGAAGAGGGGGGGAGAGCUGGAAAAAGAAGCGCCCGGGGGGGGAGAGGGGCUUUCGGGUUGAAACCCGCUUCCGCGGGGGACGAAGGGGGGGGGAGGGUAUGGUGUAAAGAGACCCGGACUACGAACGGC
Molecule: ribosomal RNA, 468 nt
Filed under: uncultured bacterium
Lineage: Bacteria
Description: partial 16S ribosomal RNA
Rfam family: Bacterial small subunit ribosomal RNA (bases 20-329)
Source: RNAcentral